GAGUUUGAUCAUGGCUCAGAACGAACGCUGGCGGCAGGCUUAACACAUGCAAGUCGAACGCCUAUAGCAAUAUAGGAGUGGCGCACGGGUGAGUAAUACAUGGGAACGUGCCUUUCAGUCUGGAAUAACCACGGGAAACUGUGGCUAAAACCGGAUAUUCUCUGAGGAGGAAAGUUUACGCUGAAAGAUCGGCCCAUGCCAGAUUAGCUAGUUGGUGAGGUAAUGGCUCACCAAGGCAACAAUCUGUAGCUGUUCUGAGAGGAAGACCAGCCACACUGGAACUGAGACACGGUCCAGACUCCUACGGGAGGCAGCAGUGGGGAAU
This 325-nucleotide ribosomal RNA is filed under the name uncultured Alphaproteobacteria bacterium. RNAcentral's name for it is "bacterial SSU rRNA". It matches the Rfam family "Bacterial small subunit ribosomal RNA", at positions 9 to 362 of the family's 1533-position model. Lineage: Bacteria; Pseudomonadati; Pseudomonadota; Alphaproteobacteria. The record is from RNAcentral.